This 376-nucleotide ribosomal RNA is filed under the name uncultured Serratia sp. RNAcentral describes it as "bacterial SSU rRNA". It matches the Rfam family "Bacterial small subunit ribosomal RNA", at positions 521 to 896 of the family's 1533-position model. The record is from RNAcentral. Lineage: Bacteria; Pseudomonadati; Pseudomonadota; Gammaproteobacteria; Enterobacterales; Yersiniaceae.
UAAUACGGAGGGUGCAAGCGUUAAUCGGAAUUACUGGGCGUAAAGCGCACGCAGGCGGUUUGUUAAGUCAGAUGUGAAAUCCCCGGGCUCAACCUGGGAACUGCAUUUGAAACUGGCAAGCUAGAGUCUCGUAGAGGGGGGUAGAAUUCCAGGUGUAGCGGUGAAAUGCGUAGAGAUCUGGAGGAAUACCGGUGGCGAAGGCGGCCCCCUGGACGAAGACUGACGCUCAGGUGCGAAAGCGUGGGGAGCAAACAGGAUUAGAUACCCUGGUAGUCCACGCUAGUAAACGAUGUCGAUUUGGAGGUUGUGCCCUUGAGGCGUGGCUUCGGAGCUAACGCGUUUAAAUCGACCGCCUGGGGAUACGGCCGCAAGGUUA